RNAcentral lists this small nuclear RNA (104 nucleotides) under Callithrix jacchus (white-tufted-ear marmoset). Lineage: Eukaryota; Metazoa; Chordata; Mammalia; Primates; Cebidae. The record is from RNAcentral.
GUGCUUGCUUCAGCAGCACAUUUACUAAAAUUGGAAUGAUACAGAGAUUAGCAUGGCCCCUGCACAAGGAUGACACACAAAUUUGUGAAGCAUUCCAUAUUAAA